This 72-nucleotide transfer RNA is filed under the name Sporophila ruficollis (dark-throated seedeater). RNAcentral's name for it is "tRNA-Glu". The record is from RNAcentral. Lineage: Eukaryota; Metazoa; Chordata; Aves; Passeriformes; Thraupidae. RNAcentral also lists the same sequence under 2 other names.
GUUCCUAUAGUUAAAUUUUUUUAACGGCGAUUUUUCAGGUCGUAGAUCUCGGAGAGAGGCCGAGUAGGAAUU